GACGAACGCUGGCGGCGUGCUUAACACAUGCAAGUCGAACGGAAAGGCCCCUUUGGGGGUACUCGAGUGGCGAACGGGGGAGUAACACGUGAGUAAACUGCCCUUGACUUCGGGAUAACUUCAGGAAACUGGGGCUAAUACCGGUUAGGAAUCAUUGCUGCAUGGGGGGGGUUGGAAAGCUUCGGCGGCUUUGGGUGAACUCGCGGCUUAUCAGCUUGUUGGUGAGGUAGUGGCUUACCGAGGCUUUGACGUGUAGCCGGACAGAGAGGGCGAGCGGCCGUCCUGGCUCUGAGGGACGGCCCAGACUCCUACGGGAGGCAGCUGUGGGGAAGCUUGCACCAUGGGCGGCGGCCUGAUGCAGCAAGGCUUCGUGCUGUAUGACGGCCUUCGUGUUGUAAACCGCUUUCAGCAGGGGCGAAGCUUGUGGUGACGGUACCUGCAGAAGAAGCACCGGCUAACUACGUG
Molecule: ribosomal RNA, 465 nt
Filed under: uncultured bacterium
Lineage: Bacteria
Description: partial 16S ribosomal RNA
Rfam family: Bacterial small subunit ribosomal RNA
Source: RNAcentral